Long non-coding RNA from Astatotilapia calliptera (eastern happy), 1752 nucleotides. NCBI's taxonomy places the organism in Eukaryota, Metazoa, Chordata, Actinopteri, Cichliformes, Cichlidae. The record is from Ensembl.
CUUAGCAUCACAUAACAUCACUACAUGCUUUGAUUAACUAGCAUGUCUAAUAAUGGCCUGUGCUUUUAUUUUUAAUAAUAACAUAAAAAAUAAAGUAAAUAUAGCGACAGUCAUUCUUGAUGUUCAAAUGACUACAUAUCUAAUCCGCGAAUGUCUAAAAAUGUAUUCCAGGAGCUUCACAUUUUCAAAAAGAGGAUAAAUAUAAAACAGGACAAAGUGAGCUGAAACCCAAAAGUUCAUUUUCUUCAAAGCUUGUGACUUUUGAGAGGUGAGGUUUUGAUCUGGAACCAUAGCCAGUCCUGUCCUAACCAUCUGCUCUGCUUCGAGGGCCGGGCUGCUGUCAUCACAUUCUGCCCCCAACUGCCCUUUUGUCCAUGUCUCUCUCUCUCUCACUCACUCACUCACUCACUCACUCACUCACUCACUCACUCACUCACUCACACACACACACACACACACACACACACACACACACACACACACACACACACUUUCUCUGCUCUCGUUUUUUUAUACCUCCUUCUCUCCUCUUGUUGUCACUCCAGCUGGUGGUUUUCAGUGAGGGCUGUCAGAUGCUGAGCUCCCUGAUGCGGAGGCGAGGAGUGUGGAGAAGAGGACGAAUGGAUGAAUAAAAGAUCACAGGGCAGCUAUCACCCUAUUCUGUUUUCCAAUGAAAGGAAAAAUUCUGACGCAGAUGCACAUGAAAUAAAAAAUGCCACAGUGUUUUGAGACUGUGUGAGAGAAGAAAAGGUUGAGCAAGAGCAAGUAAUCAAAUAUGUGCAGUUUCAAAGUUCGUUGUUGGGUUUUUGUUUUUUUUUUGGUUUUUUACACAUGUUGACUGUUUCUUUUUUGUUUUUUACAUUUUGGCUCAUUAGUGAGAAGGAGUUAUUGUGGACAGAGCAGUGCCCUUGUUGACAGGUUGUUCUUGGACUUUCUGUGGAUUAUAUUUUACUUUCAAGAUGAAUAAAUUGAGGUUUUUUGUUUUUUUUUAAUUCUGCUCAGUGACUGAAUGUGUCAUCAAGCUCUACAUCCUCUUACAUUCAGAGGGACCUAAAAUUGUGAGAUCUGAGGGAAUUACAGCUUUUUUUAAAGGGAUCAGUGUGAUCAUUCCCCGUUAAAUUUGCACUGACGAGCGUUUGGAAUUGUACCUGUUCUGCCCUUGAUCCUUUAUUCCACACGAACUGGAUACUUCACUCAUUUGUAGUUUUUGGCAGAAUCAUUUGUCUGUUUAAUUCCUUGUUGUUCUCUUGGCAAACCCAGUCUUUAGAAAGAAUUUCUUUAAAAAAAAUCUAUUUCAAAUGAUUAAAUAAAAAGCUACUUUAUUUGAUUUAAAUUCGUAUUUUAAGUUUAGUUUCAAAUAAAUUAUUUGGUAUGUGCAGAAUGUCACAAAUAAACGUGGAAAUCUGUAUGUAGAUUUGUUCCUUGCAUGCACUGUUUAUAAAAGAUGGCAAGACACUGAGUUCUGCGCUCCAUUUUGAAAUUUUAAGUGGAGCAUUUGGGUGCUGUCAUGAUUAUUUUCAAACCAGGUGAAACAGGAUAAGAGGCUGCUAAACCGAGAACACUGUACACUCGUAUGGUUUCAUGUAUUUAACUCUAAAUAUCUAAAAUAUGCAAAGUAAGUGUCACACCUUUUUAAGUCAGACUUGAAAUUAAUUAAACCACAAACGUAUUAAGAAAAUAUUUACUGAGGUAACAAGUCAAUUGAAAUCAAUAAGCCUGUAGAGUUGCUCCCUGCUGUACAUUAGAAAUAAU